Molecule: ribosomal RNA, 484 nt
Filed under: uncultured bacterium
Lineage: Bacteria
Description: partial 16S ribosomal RNA
Rfam family: Bacterial small subunit ribosomal RNA
Source: RNAcentral
AUUGAACGCUGGCGGCAGGCCUAACACAUGCAAGUCGAGCGGAUGAAGGGAGCUUGCUCCUGGAUUCAGCGGCGGACGGGUGAGUAAUGCCUAGGAAUCUGCCUGGUAGUGGGGGAUAACGUCCGGAAACGGGCGCUAAUACCGCAUACGUCCUGAGGGAGAAAGUGGGGGAUCUUCGGACCUCACGCUAUCAGAUGAGCCUAGGUCGGAUUAGCUAGUUGGUGGGGUAAAGGCCUACCAAGGCGACGAUCCGUAACUGGUCUGAGAGGAUGAUCAGUCACCCUGGCACUGAGAAACGGUACAGACUCCGACGGGAGGCAGCAGUGGGGAAUAUUGCACAAUGGGCGAAAGCCUGAUCCAGCCAAGCCGCGUGAGUGAAGAAGGUCUUCGGAUUGUAAAACACUUUAAGUUGGGAGGAAGGGCAGUAAGUUAAUACCUUGCUGUUUUGACGUUACCAACAGAAUAAGCCCCGGCUAACUUCGUG